Gasterosteus aculeatus aculeatus (three-spined stickleback) is the source of this 633-nucleotide non-coding RNA. The record is from RefSeq and is a predicted model, not a curated record. Lineage: Eukaryota; Metazoa; Chordata; Actinopteri; Perciformes; Gasterosteidae.
CCCCUCCUGCAGGCUGACUCUGAAGUACCAUCACUGCUGGUGACUUCACAGUGUCCUGCUGUGCAGCAUCUCUCCUCUAUCACGUUGGCUCUCUAUCUCUCCUGUACCUUGUAUCCACUCCUGUCUACAAGUUGGCUCUCUAUCUCUACUGUCACAUCUACCGCUCUGUCUUUUGCAUAUGGCAACUCACACUUUGUGUCCCCCUCUAUCCCACUCUCACGUUGGUAAUCUUUGGCAAUGAAAUGGAACUAACUCUGGAAACCUUUUUCUGAACUGAAUUUUGGACUAAGCUCUGUUGGCUCGACUUGGGUUACCGGUACCUUAUCUAUCUGAUUUGAAUACUCUGAGAGACUCUCUUCUCUCACCCUCACCUCUUACCUCUCCUAUCUACAACUCAUACACUUAUCUCUAGAACAGUUGUUAUAGAAUUGCUGUUUUUACAACUCGGACAAAGCAUACAUACUAUUUCGAGACUUUUUCCCAACACAAUUUGUUAAACAAAACUGAAAGAAACCACUCAUAACUAGGGCUGCAACCAACAAUUAUUUUGAUAAUCGAUUAAUCGGUCGAUUUAUUUCUUUGAUUAAUCGAUGAAUCGGAUUUUUUUUAAAACGGCAUUAAAAAGCUUUAAUU